AUGCAAAUUCUCAUUACCAUUGAUCAACAACCACUGAU
This is a microRNA of Oreochromis aureus, 38 nucleotides long. The record is from Ensembl. NCBI's taxonomy places the organism in Eukaryota, Metazoa, Chordata, Actinopteri, Cichliformes, Cichlidae.